Molecule: ribosomal RNA, 377 nt
Filed under: uncultured eukaryote
Lineage: Eukaryota
Description: partial 18S ribosomal RNA
Rfam family: Eukaryotic small subunit ribosomal RNA
Source: RNAcentral
CAAUAGCGUAUAUUAAAGUUGUUGCGGUUAAAAAGCUCGUAGUUGGAUUUCUGCUGAGAACGACCGGUCCGCCCUCUGGGUGUGUAUCUGGCUCUUUCUUGGCAUCUUCUUGGUGAACGUUGCUGCACUUGACUGUGUGGAGCGCUACCCAGGACUUUUACUUUGAGGAAAUUAGAGUGUUUCAAGCAGGCAUACGCCUUGAAUACAUUAGCAUGGAAUAAUAAGAUAGGACCUCGGUUCUAUUUUGUUGGUUGAGCCUAAAGUAAUGAUUAAUAGGGAUAGUUGGGGGCACCUGUAUUGCGUUGUCAGAGGUGAAAUUCUUGGAUUUACGCAAGACAAACAGCUGCGAAAGCGUCUGCCAAGGAUGUUUUCAUUAA